GCUGGGUGUGAUGGCACAUACCUGUAAUCCCAGUGACUCAGGAGGCUGAAACAGGAGUAUUGCAAGUUCAAGGUCAGCCUCAGUACUUUAAGCCAGCGCCCUGAGCAACUUAGUGAGACCCUGUCUCAA
RNAcentral lists this small RNA (129 nucleotides) under Marmota monax (woodchuck). Lineage: Eukaryota; Metazoa; Chordata; Mammalia; Rodentia; Sciuridae. The record is from RNAcentral.